CAGUAAACGAUGAAUACUCGCUGUUUGCGAUACACUGUAAGCGGCCAAGCGAAAGCGUUAAGUAUUCCACCUGGGGAGUACGCCGGCAACGGUGAAACUCAAAGGAAUUGACGGGGGCCCGCACAAGCGGAGGAACAUGUGGUUUAAUUCGAUGAUACGCGAGGAACCUUACCCGGGCUUAAAUUGCGCUGGCUUUUACCGGAAACGGUAUUUUCUUCGGACCAGCGUGAAGGUGCUGCAUGGUUGUCGUCAGCUCGUGCCGUGAGGUGUCGGCUUAAGUGCCAUAACGAGCGCAACCCUUAUCUUUAGUUACUAACAGUUUUGCUGAGGACUCUAAAGAGACUGCCGUCGUAAGAUGCGAGGAAGGUGGGGAUGACGUCAAAUCAGCACGGCCCUUACGUCCGGGGCUACACACGUGUUACAAUGGGGAGCACAGCAGGUUGCUACACGGCGACGUGAUGCCAAUCCGUAAAACUCCUCUCAGUUCGGAUCGAAGUCUGCAACCCGACUUCGUGAAGCUGGAUUCGCUAGUAAUCGCGCAUCAGCCACGGCGCGGUGAAUAC
This 563-nucleotide ribosomal RNA is filed under the name Bacteroides denticanium. RNAcentral describes it as "bacterial SSU rRNA". It matches the Rfam family "Bacterial small subunit ribosomal RNA", at positions 800 to 1369 of the family's 1533-position model. The record is from RNAcentral. Lineage: Bacteria; Pseudomonadati; Bacteroidota; Bacteroidia; Bacteroidales; Bacteroidaceae.